CAGCAGCCGCGGUAAUACAUAGGGGGCGAGCGUUAUCCGGAAUUAUUGGGCGUAAAGCGUGCGUAGGCGGUUAUUUAAGUCUGGUGUAAAAACCCAAAGCUUAACUUUGGGAGGUCACUGGAAACUGGGUAACUUGAGUAUGGUAGAGGUAAGUGGAAUUCCAAGUGGAGCGGUGGAAUGCGUAGAGAUUUGGAGGAACACCAGUGGCGAAGGCGGCUUACUGGGCCAUUACUGACGCUCAGGCACGAAAGCGUGGGGAGCAAACAGGAUUAGAUACCCUGGUAGUCCACGCCGUAAACGAUGAGUGCUAAGUAUCGGGAAGAAUUUCGGUGCUGCAGUUAACACAAUAAGCACUCCGCCUGGGGAGUACGGUCGCAAGACUGAAACUCAAAGGAAUUGACGGGGACUCGCACAAGCGGUGGAGCAUGCGGUUUAAUUCGAUGCAACGCGAAGAACCUUACCAGGUCUUGACAUCCCGUUGACAGGUCUAGAGAUAGAUUUUUUCUUCGGAACAACGGAGACAGGUGGUGCAUGGCC
RNAcentral lists this ribosomal RNA (537 nucleotides) under uncultured archaeon. Its description in RNAcentral is "bacterial SSU rRNA". It matches the Rfam family "Bacterial small subunit ribosomal RNA", at positions 509 to 1050 of the family's 1533-position model. The record is from RNAcentral.